UCAGCCGAGCUCGAGCGCCUUUCUGACAAACACUUUGUUUGGCCGCCAACGGUACUUUUUUCUUCUUCUUCUUUUCUUCGCGUCGGCCGAUAGGAGCUAUUUAAAUCAGCCACCAGGCGAAUCAGCCGUGUCCCCCCCCACCUCCCCCCUGACACGCUCUCCUUCCCCGUGACCAGAGAGGCGCAAAAGAAAACACACACACACUCACACACACAAAACCUCAACACAAAGCGCUGUCUCUUUUUAUUUGUCCCUGGAUGGAAUAAAGUGUUUUUUUCUUCACAGGCAAAUCCUCGUCGGGGAAGACAACAGGGCGGACGGAUUCCAGAAGACGGGAGUCGAAGGACGGUCGGUGUGGAGAUCAAGCAAAAUCAUUCAUUAGGAGCCAGUGCAUUUCUGACCCCAACAGGAACCAACAAUCUAACCGGCAUAAUUUAUGUGUCGUCAUGCUGCAUUACUGACUCGUACGGCCCCCGUCUGUUAGUCCCGCCUGCAGAGGAAUGAGCGUGUUGCCGAGCUGGACAUCAGGCCUGUCUGGAAAGAGCUGGAGUGUGUUAGCUUGUAAAGUCAAACUCAAAUGUGUAGCCCCUAAAAAGAAAGGAGUAGAAUUUUACUGUGUCUUGUAAACUGAUUAAAAAGAUGGUCAAUAAAAAAAGUGAAGAUUUGA
Molecule: long non-coding RNA, 667 nt
Organism: Pseudoliparis swirei
Lineage: Eukaryota; Metazoa; Chordata; Actinopteri; Perciformes; Liparidae
Exons: 4
Source: RefSeq, a predicted model, not a curated record